This 1487-nucleotide ribosomal RNA is filed under the name uncultured Aequorivita sp. Its description in RNAcentral is "bacterial SSU rRNA". It matches the Rfam family "Bacterial small subunit ribosomal RNA". The record is from RNAcentral. Lineage: Bacteria; Pseudomonadati; Bacteroidota; Flavobacteriia; Flavobacteriales; Flavobacteriaceae.
GAGUUUGAUCCUGGCUCAGGAUGAACGCUAGCGGCAGGCCUAACACAUGCAAGUCGAGGGGUAGAGGGGUGCUUGCACCCCUUGAGACCGGCGCACGGGUGCGUAACGCGUAUGCAACCUACCUAUUGCAGGGGAAUAGCCCAGGGAAACUUGGAUUAAUGCCCCAUAGUCCAUAUUGAGAGCAUUCGAUAUAUGGUAAAGAUUUAUCGGCAAUAGAUGGGCAUGCGUCCCAUUAGCUAGUUGGUAUGGUAACGGCAUACCAAGGCAACGAUGGGUAGGGGCCCUGAGAGGGGGAUCCCCCACACUGGUACUGAGACACGGACCAGACUCCUACGGGAGGCAGCAGUGAGGAAUAUUGGACAAUGGGCGGGAGCCUGAUCCAGCCAUGCCGCGUGCAGGAAGACUGCCCUAUGGGUUGUAAACUGCUUUUUUACGGGAAGAAACACCCCCACGUGUGGGGGCUUGACGGUACCGUACGAAUAAGGACCGGCUAACUCCGUGCCAGCAGCCGCGGUAAUACGGAGGGUCCGAGCGUUAUCCGGAAUCAUUGGGUUUAAAGGGUCCGUAGGCGGGCGUCUAAGUCAGUGGUGAAAUCCCGCAGCUCAACUGUGGAAUUGCCAUUGAUACUGGUCGCCUUGAAUUAGUGUGAAGUGGCUAGAAUAUGUAGUGUAGCGGUGAAAUGCUUAGAUGUUACAUAGAAUACCGAUUGCGAAGGCAGGUCACUAACACUAUAUUGACGCUGAUGGACGAAAGCGUGGGGAGCGAACAGGAUUAGAUACCCUGGUAGUCCACGCCGUAAACGAUGGAUACUAGCUGUCCGGCCUGCAUUGGUAGGCUGGGUGGCCAAGCGAAAGUGAUAAGUAUCCCACCUGGGGAGUACGUUCGCAAGAAUGAAACUCAAGGAAUUGACGGGGGCCCGCACAAGCGGUGGAGCAUGUGGUUUAAUUCGAUGAUACGCGAGGAACCUUACCAGGGCUUAAAUGUAGUCUGACAGGGGUGGAAACACCCCCUUCUUCGGACAGACUGCAAGGUGCUGCAUGGUUGUCGUCAGCUCGUGCCGUGAGGUGUCAGGUUAAGUCCUAUAACGAGCGCAACCCCUGUCGUUAGUUGCCAGCAUGUAAAGAUGGGAACUCUAACGAGACUGCCGGUGCAAACCGUGAGGAAGGUGGGGAUGACGUCAAAUCAUCACGGCCCUUACGUCCUGGGCCACACACGUGCUACAAUGGCAGGUACAAUGGGCAGCCACGCCGCAAGGCGGAGCGAAUCCACAAAACCUGUCUCAGUUCGGAUCGGGGUCUGCAACUCGACCCCGUGAAGCUGGAAUCGCUAGUAAUCGGAUAUCAGCCAUGAUCCGGUGAAUACGUUCCCGGGCCUUGUACACACCGCCCGUCAAGCCAUGGAAGCUGGAAGCACCUGAAGUCCGUCACCGCGAGGAGCGGCCUAGGGUGAAGCUGGUAACUGGGGCUAAGUCGUAACAAGGUAGCCGU